This 1752-nucleotide ribosomal RNA is filed under the name metagenome. Its description in RNAcentral is "bacterial LSU rRNA". It matches the Rfam family "Bacterial large subunit ribosomal RNA", at positions 1088 to 2925 of the family's 2925-position model. The record is from RNAcentral.
GACAACCAGGAUGUUGGCUUAGAGGCAGCCACUCGUUCAAAGAGUGCGUAAUAGCUCACUGGUCGAGUGAUCUUGCGCGGAAAAUUUAACGGGGCUAAGCAUGUAACCGAAGCUUGGGAUUGCGCAAUGCGCAGUGGUAGGGGAGCGUCGUGUACGGGGUGAAGUACGAUCGAGAGGACGUGUGGACUGUACACGAGUGAGAAUGCCGGAAUGAGUAGCGAGAAUUAUGUGGGAAUCAUAAUGGCCGAAAAUCUAAGGUUUCUUGGGGAAGGUUCGUCCGCCCAAGGUAAGCCGGGAGCUAAGGCGAGGCCGAAAGGCGUAGUCGAUGCACAUACGGUUGAAAUUCCGUAGCCACCUUAUCGAUAAAAGCUGACACAUAGAGAUAGCCGAACCCGGGCGUUGGUUGACCCGGGCGAAAGGGACCGAACUACAGUAGGGAAGUCGGCGAUGCUCUGUGGCGAGAAAAGGCGAAGGUAGGGUGCCCGUACCGCAAACCGACACAGGUAGAUGAGGAGAGAAUCCUAAGGCCAACGGGAGAAAGGUUGUUAAGGAACUCGGCAAAAUUGCCCCGUAACUUCGGGAGAAGGGGCGCCCUCGAAAGAGGGCCGCAGUGAAAAGGCCCAAGCGACUGUUUACCAAAAACACAGGUCUCUGCUAAAUCGAAAGAUGACGUAUAGGGGCUGACGCCUGCCCGGUGCUGGAAGGUUAAGAGGAGGACUUAGCGCAAGCGAAGGUCUGAAUUUAAGCCCCAGUAAACGGCGGCCGUAACAAUAACGGUCCUAAGGUAGCGAAAUUCCUUGUCAGGUAAGUUCUGACCCGCACGAAUGGCGUAACGAUUUGGGCACUGUCUCAACAGCCUACCCGGCGAAAUUGUAGUACCGGUGAAGAUGCCGGUUACCCGCAACUAGACGGAAAGACCCCAUGGAGCUUUACUGCAGCUUAAUACUGAGAUUCGGUAAUUCAUGUACAGGAUAGGUGGGAGACUUAGAAGCAGAGUCGUUAGGCGCUGUGGAGUCACCCUUGGGAUACCACCCUUGGAUUGCUGGGUUUCUAACCUGCGGCCAUGAAUCUGGUCGGGGGACACUGUUAGGCGGGCAGUUUGACUGGGGCGGUCGCCUCCUAAAAUGUAGCGGAGGCGCUCAAAGCUUGGCUCAGCAUGGAUGGAAAUCAUGCAAUGAGUGUAAACGUAUAAGCCAAGUUGACUGCGAGACCGACGGGUCGAGCAGGUACGAAAGUAGGAGUUAGUGAUCCGGUGGUAUGUGAGUGGAAAUGCCAUCGCUCAACGGAUAAAAGCUACCCUGGGAUAACAGGCUGAUCUCCCCCAAGCGUCCACAGCGACGGGGAGGUUUGGCACCUCGAUGUCGGCUCGUCGCAUCCUGGGGCUGUAUUCGGUCCCAAGGGUUUGGCUGUUCGCCAAUUAAAGCGGCACGCGAGCUGGGUUCAGAACGUCGUGAGACAGUUCGGUCCCUAUCUGUUGCGGGCGUAAGAGAUUUGAAGGGAGCUGUCCUUAGUACGAGAGGACCGGGAUAGACUGACCGCUGGUGUACCAGUUGUUCUGCCAAGAGCAUAGCUGGGUAGCUACGUCGGGACGAGGUAAACGCUGAAGGCAUCUAAGCGUGAAACUCCCCCUAAGAUAAGAUCUCUCAUCCUUUAUGGAGUAAGGCUCGUCGUAGACUAUGACGUUGAUAGGUCAGAGGUGGAAGCGCCGUAAGGUGUGUAGCUGACUGAUACUAAUAAGCCGAGGGCUUGAUC